This 390-nucleotide ribosomal RNA is filed under the name uncultured bacterium. RNAcentral describes it as "bacterial SSU rRNA". It matches the Rfam family "Bacterial small subunit ribosomal RNA", at positions 28 to 417 of the family's 1533-position model. The record is from RNAcentral.
GACGAACGCUGGCGGCGUGCUUAACACAUGCAAGUCGAGCGGUAAGGCCCUUUCGGGGGUACGACGAGCGGCGAACGGGUGAGUAACACGUGGGUGACCUGCCCUCAGCUCUGGGAUAAGCCUGGGAAACUGGGUCUAAUACUGGAUAUGACUCCACGGUGCAUGUCGUGGGGUGGAAAGCCUUGUGCGGCUGAGGAUGGGCCCGCGGCCUAUCAGCUUGUUGGUGGGGUGANGGCCUACCAAGGCGACGACGGGUAGCCGGCCUGAGAGGGCGACCGGCCACACUGGGACUGAGACACGGCCCAGACUCCUACGGGAGGCGGGCAGUGGGGAAUCUUGCGCAAUGGGCGAAAGCCUGACGCAGCGACGCCGCGUGAGGGAUGACGGCCU